GACGUAGGGGGCGAGCGUUGUCCGGAUUCAUUGGGCGUAAAGCGCGCGUAGGCGGCCCGGUAAGUCGGAUGUGAAAUCUCACGGCUCAACCGUGGAACUGCAUUCGAAACUGUCGGGCUAGAGGCAGGUAGGGGAGAUCGGAAUUCCCGGUGUAGCGGUGAAAUGCGCAGAUAUCGGGAGGAACACCGGUGGCGAAGGCGGAUCUCUGGGCCUGUCCUGACGCUCAGGCGCGAAAGCCAGGGGAGCGAACGGG
RNAcentral lists this ribosomal RNA (253 nucleotides) under uncultured bacterium. RNAcentral describes it as "partial 16S ribosomal RNA". It matches the Rfam family "Bacterial small subunit ribosomal RNA", at positions 524 to 776 of the family's 1533-position model. The record is from RNAcentral.